Molecule: ribosomal RNA, 484 nt
Filed under: uncultured bacterium
Lineage: Bacteria
Description: partial 16S ribosomal RNA
Rfam family: Bacterial small subunit ribosomal RNA
Source: RNAcentral
AUUGAACGCUGGCGGCAUGCUUUACACAUGCAAGUCGAACGGCAGCGCGGGCUUCGGCCUGGCGGCGCGUGGCGAACGGGUGAGUAAUUCAUCGGAACGUACCCAGUAGUUGGGGAUAGCCCGGCGAAAGCCGGAUUAAUACCGCAUACGACCUGAGGGUGAAAGCGGGGGACCGAAAGGCCUCGCGCUAUUGGAGCGGCCGAUGUCGGAUUAGCUAGUUGGUGGGGUAAAGGCUUACCAAGGCGACGAUCCGUAGCUGGUCUGAGAGGACGACCAGCCACACUGGGACUGAGACACGGCCCAGACUCCUACGGGAGGCAGCAGUGGGGAAUUUUGGACAAUGGGGGCAACCCUGAUCCAGCCAUGCCGCGUGCGGGAAGAAGGCCUUCGGGUUGUAAACCGCUUUUGUUCGGGGAGAAAUCCUCUGGGCUAAUACCCCGGGGGGAUGACGGUACCGGAAGAAUAAGCACCGGCUAACUACGUG